RNAcentral lists this ribosomal RNA (303 nucleotides) under uncultured bacterium. Its description in RNAcentral is "partial 16S ribosomal RNA". It matches the Rfam family "Bacterial small subunit ribosomal RNA", at positions 507 to 807 of the family's 1533-position model. The record is from RNAcentral.
AGCAGUCGCCACGGUAAAACAGAGGGUGCGAGCGUUAAUCGGAUUUACUGGGCGUAAAGCGUGCGUAGGCGGCUUCUUAAGUCGGAUGUGAAAUCCCUGAGCUUAACUUAGGAAUUGCAUUCGAUACUGGGAAGCUAGAGUAUGGGAGAGGAUGGUAGAAUUCCAGGUGUAGCGGUGAAAUGCGUAGAGAUCUGGAGGAAUACCGAUGGCGAAGGCAGCCAUCUGGCCUAAUACUGACGCUGAGGUACGAAAGCAUGGGGAGCAAACAGGAUUAGAUACCCCGGUAGUCCCUGUCUCUUAUAC